RNAcentral lists this long non-coding RNA (6045 nucleotides) under Homo sapiens (human). Its description in RNAcentral is "HSALNT0358963". The record is from RNAcentral. Lineage: Eukaryota; Metazoa; Chordata; Mammalia; Primates; Hominidae.
ACAAAUGUUACUUUCAUUUCAUUCAGCUUUUCUAGUUGUUGCUCUUGGAAGUAUUGGUAUUAAUAGACAGAAAUGAGAGUCCUGGGGCCACUUCUUGUAAGAAGUAAAAGUUUCAGGCAGGUGUUCAUAGCAACCAAUGAAAUAAGCAGAGGUGCUGUAGAGAACUCUGGAAAGUUCCCAGAAGGGCAGUCCUUACCAUCAAUAUCAUGAGCUGACCCUUGGCUGCAAUUGAAGAGGCUGCUGCAUCUCAGCAGAUCAGAAUCAUCUGUAAUAUCUUAUUUGAAGAGAUGAAAUGACUACAUGCUUUAUCCAGCAUCACUCCCAAGAAUGUGAAGGAGACCGCUCUUUAAUACAUCACGGAGAGACAGCUUCUUGAGCAUGAGCCAGAAAUGAGUUCCUCAUAAAAGAUCCAGGUCAGAGCAUAAGCACUGGGCCAGUGUAGCUCCAAUGUCACUGGUGUGCUGCGUCCUGCUCUUACCAGCUCAUGAAAACCUCUUGUGUGUAUCUUUUCUCAACUCUGUGUUCAGUAACAUCACAUUAGCACCAUGAAAUUGGCCAUGAUGGGAAUAUUUACACCAUGGAAAUCAGCAAGCACUAUAAAUCAGAGCCUUGUUUUACUCAGAGAGCUGAUUAUAAAACAUUAGCCAGCAUAUUACCACCCAGAGGAGGUGAAUGGCAGAACACUAGGGCCAGAUUUCAAACCCUGUAUUAGGCUUGUAUGCUGAGGGCUGACUCAGUAACAGGCAUCAUGUCAAACUCUUUGCACGUGUUCCAUCAUUUAAUCCUCACAAUAAAACUGUGAGAUCAGAUGAUGGAGAGUAGGAGAUUUUGUGUAACCUGCUUAAGACCGCAGAGCAACCUAGGUCAGUCUGGUCCUCACAUCUUUGUUCUUAACUACUGCACUAAACAUUCUCCCUGCAGCUGCACAAAAUGGGAGGACAAACCCUAGACUAAAUGGAUUGGGAGGUUUUUAGUUACUGAGGGCAGAAAACAUAGUAUGGCAGAGUCCAAGAACUGGUGUUGGAACUGAGCACAUAGCAAGUCUACAUAUGACAAUGCAAACAGACCCUGAGGCAGGGCCUACAGGUUCCCAGUGAGCAGAAAAGCAAACUCAAAUAAGCUGGGAGGCAGUAGCCAGUCUUGGAUGCAUCUGUGGCUGAUGGGCAUAGUGCAAUGACACAGGAAACUAGAAUCAGCAAUAUGACAUGGCCACAUGCCAGCAGUAGCAGGAACCUGCCCGUGGGGCUUGGCGGCAGUUCUCUGCACUCACAGUGAGUGAUUUCCAAGAGCUAUGCAUAUCUGUCAAAGGAAUUUAGGUUCUAGGUGGGUUUUUCAGUCUGGGACUUGGUGAUGAUCCAGAGUUCCUGCUUUCAGGAAGAGGCAAUUUGAUCAGAAUAGAACUAGCAGAACAGAACUCAGGAUUAUACAAAGAUUCUGCAGUGUAGAGGGGUAGAGGUUCUUAGCUACGGAGAUGUCCCUGCCAAGACCUAAAAGCUGGGAGAGAAGGGACACCCAGAAUACUGAGAACUAAGCAGGCCUGGAACAAUGCCAAGGCAGGAUACAGGUUAUCCAUAGUGUGUAAAAUCUACAUGUUUUGGAGCAUAUUUUUAUUCUUAAAAAAUAGUGCUACAGAUUAUGGUGGAUAAUGCAGGUGCCCCACCACAUCCCCUAGCUGCCGUGAAUGUUGACUGCUGGAUAGUAUUCCAUCUACCUUGCUUCUUGCUUCUCUCAUUCUUCUUUUCUUAAGAGAAGCACUUCAACAAGAAUUCUUCUCAGGCUCUGCUUUUGGGGAAAGCAACCUAAGACACAGGGAAUUUCAGCUCCUUGAAUGCUCUUCGUCAAAGAACUAUUCUCCUCUCUCUGAGAAGGUGAUCCUCCUCAACCACAGAGGCAGUUUCAGGAAGAGUGCCCAUGGAGGCUUGAAAAGGAGUGUCACGUCUAGGCAGCCAGAGCACACAUGUUGCUAUCUGGACAAUCAAUGAACUGUUCAUGAUGCUCUCUCUGGCCACCUUCCAGACAGGAAGAAAGAGCAGAGGAUCACUGUGAGAGGAAUUUGAGGAUCAAAUCCUGAAGUGGUACAUGUCACUACUGUUCAUAGUCUCUUUGCUGGAACUUGGUCCUAUGGCCCUACUGGCAGAGAGGAAGGCUAUGAAACCCAGUCUAGGCCUGCGCCUAGAAGAAGAAGAAGAAGAAACACCUUUUGAAGAACAGAGAGCAGUCUCUGUCAUACCAGGAGUACCUGUCACAUACUUGUAGAACAAAAAUCAGUAACAUUUUAAUUAUUGAAACAAUGUAACAACUUUAAACACAGUUUCAUAACUAGGAGUGAAUCACCCAUAAUCUCAUACCCGGAACAAAAUAUCUGUUAGUAUGAUGCACCUUUACAUAGCUGUAAUCUUAAAGGGCAUGUACUUCCUUCUUUGCUUUCCUUUUUUUUUUUCUUCAUCCUUUCCCUCUCUCCCUCUCUCCCUCUCUCCCUUUCUCCCUUCCUUCUUUCUUUUCUUCCUUUCUUUCUGAUUUUCUAACUUCCUUCUUUAAACAUUCCUUGAUCGUCUGUGGGUCUGGACAGCAACAUGGAGAUCAAUUAGGCGCAGCAUUUUAAAUUUGCCCUCAAGAAGUUCCACUAGUGUAAGAGUAGGCAAGUAACCAAUUAUUACAAUAGUGGGACAAGCGCUGUGAUAGAAAUAAAUACAGAGUACUGUGGCAGUCCUUACCCAGAAAAAGAUAUCUAGGGUAGAUGGUAUCUGAACUGAGAAUUAAAGAAUAAAUAGAAGAUAGCAUGGCAAAAAAAGUUCAAGAGUGUUCCAUUCUUUGAGAAUAGGGCAUUGAGAUAGAACCUGUAGACAUGAGAUAGAACUGUGUGCAUCCUGGAAAUUGCACAUGGUUCAGAUUGAUUGGGAAAUAGAGUGUGGAUGGGAAGUGAUGAAAGCUGAGUCAGUAGAGUUCGAUGGGGGUCAAAUUGUGAAAGAGUGUGAGCUCUGCUAAGGAGAUGAUAUUUUAGCUUAAAUACCAGAAGAGCCAUUGAAUUAUUUUAAGCAUAGGAGUGAUCUAAUCGGAACUCUGCUUGAGAAAGAUAACCCUGGUUGCUGUGUGAAAAAAUAUACCAGAGGCAAACAAAGUUGAAGCCAGGAGACCAGUUAAAAGACAAAAUUCAUAAUUUAUAUGAGAUAUGAUGAUAGUUUGACUUAGGCUGUGAUUGACAUUGCAGAGUAACAUAUCGCAUUCAAGAGAUGUUUGGAUGAUGAAACCAAGAGGGCUUGGAAAUUGAUUGGAUAUGAGGCAUUAGAGGAAUAUGUUAGGGCUAGAUCCCAGGAUUCUGGUUUAGAUAAUUGGAUAGACAAUUAAAGCAGAAACUAUUGAAGAAGGGGAGAAGAUAAAGAGUUUUGAUUUUCAUUUCAAUUCUAAGGUAUUCUUGGAAAUAUAAGUAGAGGAUGCUGAUGGGGGUUGGUUAUAAAGCAAAUUCAAGAGUGAGACUUCUGGAGUUAAGAUACAUAAUCGGAUCUGUAAGAAUGAAAGAAAGAAGUUGUUCAGGGACUAUGUGUACAGUAUGAAGACCAACAUAUAAAUGAAAUAUAAAAGAACAAAAGCUGACAAUGGAGUCUGUGAAAGAGCAAACAAAAAAAUGAGGAAGAGAACAGAGCAUGAAGUCACAGAAACCAAGGGAAGAAAAUUUUAGAUGCCGAUCAAAGAUCAAGGAAAAUAAAGAUAAAAAUGUGUCAAUUAGAUUUGGUAUUAAAGAAAGCAUUAGUAUCUUUUUGAAUACAAUUUUAUGGCUGCAUGGCAAAGAAUCAGAUGACUGGAAUCAGGAAGUGAAUAGAAAGUGAGAAAUGAAAAGGGCUCUCGAUAAGGUUUCCCUUAUUGAGAUAGGAGGUAAGCUCUAAUGUUUAUUUGAAGUUUUUUUUUUUCUUCCAAAGCUGGGAAAGAUUUAAUAAAGUAUGAAUGCUUUUAAGGAAAAGUUUGUAGACAGAGAUUUUUUGACAAUAGUAGAGCAAAUCAUGGCGAAAUAAUUGAUAGGAUGAGGUCCCAAGAAAGCAAGAACACUCCUUGAGGAAGAAGCUUUCCAUUUUAACAGGCAGUAACAAAGAGCAAUGAAUCAGGAUGAGUCUACGUUUGUCAGUUUAGAGUGGAAAUUGUUGGUAGAGCUCAUGGGACAACUCCUAUUUUACUUGUGACAAAAGCUUAACUGCUGAGAGCAAACAGGGUGGUGGGAUCAGCUAUUAUUUUUAAAUGGAGAAAUUUAAAAAUCACAAUUGCGAAGUAAAAUCUUUCAAGAAAGAUAGAAGAGGAAUACUGCUUAGUGCUGUGCGCCUCUUUGAAGUCAGAGUUGAUGCAGUGACCACCAUGCCAAGGGCUGCUUCGGGGCUUUCUCCCACAGCGCUCAUUGAGCUAUGUGAGAAGGCGAAGAUGGAAAAUAGGUGAAUGACAGCACACAUAUCACACGAGUUUGGCAAGAGGAUAAGUGAGGCAAGGGUAGCAGCAAGAGAGUGAAGAAAAUGCUCAGCCAGAAAACCUAAGCUGACUAUGAAAGAAGGAAAACAGUUCCACAGACUGGAGAGUUGCAAGAGAUACAGAUUAAGCAACAGUAAUUAACUGAAGAAGAAUUAAUUAACUGAAAGAAGUAAUUAACUUCUUUCUUAGAAGAAGAAGAAAAAACGGUAAUAUCCUGAGCAUGUAUGUUUUACUUUACUAUGACAUAAAGAGUCCACGGAGAUCUAAAUAAAUAUUUGUUGAAUGAUGAACGAGUGGAUUUUUCUGUGUGCACAUAUAAACUUUCACCUGUUAUUAUACACCUAGGUUGCUUUUAUUUUCAGUUUGUUUUUGAAAUUAUCAGUAGAGUUUUUCUUUCAGAGUGUACAGUUCUAUGCUUUUAAAAUUAAUAUACAUUAUUUUUAAAGCAGCUUUACAUUUACAGAAAAAUUGAGCAGAAAGUUGAGUUUCCAUAUACUACUCCUCUCCCCCAUACCCUGCACACAGUUAACAUCUUGCAUUCAUGUGGUACACUUGUUAUCGUUAAUGAACCAAUAUUGGUAUAUUAUUAUUAAUUAAAUUCCAUAUUUUACAUUAGGGUUUACACUUUGUGUUACACAGUACUAUGGGUGUUGACAAAUAUAAAUGUUAUGUAUCUACCAUUACGAUAUCAUACAGAAUAGUUUCACUGCCUUAAAAGUCCCCCGGGCUCCACCUACUCAUGCCUACCUUCUUCUCAUCCACCCUUUUCCUAGCAACCCUUCAUCUCUUUAUUGCCUCUAUAGUUUUUUCUAAUUUGAAGUCAUAUAGUUAAAAUUGUACAGAAUAUGGCCUUUGCAGACUGACUUCAUUAACUUAGUACUAUGCAUUUAAGAUUAUUCUAUGUCUUUUUUGUGGCUUGAUGGCUCAUAUAAAAAAAUCUGAAUAAUAUUCCAUUGUAUGGAUGUAUCAUAGUGUAUCCAUUCACUUAUUGAAGAAUGCCUUGGCUGCUUCUAAGAUUUGACAGUUCUAAAUACAGCUGCUAUAAAUGUCUGUAUGCAGGUUUUUGUGGGACAUCAGUUUUCAAAUAAUUUGGGUAAAUUUACUUGGUGAUUGCUGGAUUGUAUGGUAAAAUGAUGUUUAGCUUUGUCAGAAAUCACCAGACUGUCUUCCAAAAUGCUGAAUCAUUUUGCAAAUCCCACUAUCAAGGAAUGAAUGUUUCUGUUGCUCCAUGUCCAUGUGAGCAUUGGAUGUUGUCAGAGUUUAAAAUUUUAGCUGUUCUGAUAGGUGAGCAAUGGUUUAUCAUUGUUAUUUUAAUUUGUAAUUAACUAAUGACGUGUUGUUGAGUAUCUUUUUGUAUGCUAUCUGUAAAUCUUUGGUGAAUUACUUGUUCAGAUCUUUUGCCCAUUUUAGUUGAGUUGUUUGCUUUCUUAUUUUUGAAGUUUAAGAGUUCUUUGCAUAUUUUGUAUACUAGCCAUUGGAUAGCUGAUAGGCAAUUGUUUUUUUCUCAGUCAUUCUCCUAACAGUGUCUUUGACAGAGCAGAAGUUCUUAAUUUUAAUGAAGUUCAGCUUAUCCAGUUUCUCUUCAUGGAUUGUGCU